Long non-coding RNA from Salvia hispanica, 388 nucleotides. RefSeq lists it as uncharacterized. NCBI's taxonomy places the organism in Eukaryota, Viridiplantae, Streptophyta, Magnoliopsida, Lamiales, Lamiaceae. The record is from RefSeq and is a predicted model, not a curated record.
UCCCUUGCAAAAAAAAUCAAAUCUUGUUAACAUGACGGUGUCGAAGAGGGUGGCGGAGAAGAAGGUGGCGAAGUUCGAGAAGAACAUAAGCAGAAGAGGAGGGGCUUCCAACAAGACCGCCUUGGAGCCGUCUCACAUUGUUCUUAUUCUCUUCGUCGUCUUGGCCGUUGCCUCCUUUAUCUUCCAAGUGGUGAGGAUGGCAAUGAAUGGUGGAAAUCCGGAGCAAGACUCUUGAUGUUGAUGAAACCCUCUCUGAAAUCAUAAUCUCAUUUUUUGUUUGUAUUGAGCUACAAAUUGGAGCAUAAAAUGCUUCAGAUUUAAACCAACCAUUUAUUAUCCUUGUUAUUUUCGUGGAAGAAUGCAGAUUUGAGUGAUUAUGAUUUCAUUA